RNAcentral lists this ribosomal RNA (630 nucleotides) under Triticum aestivum (bread wheat). RNAcentral describes it as "partial small subunit ribosomal RNA". Lineage: Eukaryota; Viridiplantae; Streptophyta; Magnoliopsida; Poales; Poaceae. The record is from RNAcentral.
AUGACAGUUUGCCCUUUGAAACGAGCUCAAAGCCAGCAGCAGCAAGCAAGAAAAGCAAGCAGCAAUGGCAAGCUAAACUACCAGCAGCAGCAAAGCAAGCUAGCAGCAACCAGCAGUAGUAGGCAGGCAGAGGUGACUCCUCACCUUGUUGUUCGUGACGGGGUCGGGCGGAGCAGGGAGCCGAGAGGACGGACGACAACGAGUUCCGGACGGUGUCAAUUGCGGUCAGCUGUCGAGGAAGAAGUAGAGGGACGCACGGCUUCGAGUCUAUGGUUAGAGGAGACACAGAUGAUGCGGAGCCCGUCCCUGGAGCUGCUCGGGGAGGAGGAUGACCACGGCGGUGUCGCAACGAUGACCAACGGAACGGAGAAACGCGACCUGGGUUCAAGAGGUUCCGGCACGCUGGUGCCUGGAAUCACCAUUAAAGAGAUGGCUGGAGCAACAAUGGAGCAAGGGAACUACCUAGGAGUAAGAACACACCAGAUAAACGAGGUGGUUUAUGGCGGCGUCCAGUGCGCGGGCGUGCAUGUCGGAGCCGGAGGCGUGGACAUCUAUCCGGACCGAAGCCUGGCGGAUCCCAUCGGUCCCUGUGGCUGGCAUUGCAAUGGCGAGCGGCGGCGUCCCAAGUGA